RNAcentral lists this ribosomal RNA (460 nucleotides) under uncultured bacterium. RNAcentral's name for it is "partial 16S ribosomal RNA". It matches the Rfam family "Bacterial small subunit ribosomal RNA", at positions 338 to 795 of the family's 1533-position model. The record is from RNAcentral.
CCUACGGGAGGCAGCAGUGGGGAAUAUUGGUCAAUGGACGGAAGUCUGAACCAGCCAUGCCGCGUGCAGGAAGACGGCUCUAUGAGUUGUAAACUGCUUUUGUACAAGGGUAAACCUGAAUACGUGUAUUCAGCUGAAAGUACUGUACGAAUAAGGAUCGGCUAACUCCGUGCCAGCAGCCGCGGUAAUACGGAGGAUCCAAGCGUUAUCCGGAUUUAUUGGGUUUAAAGGGUGCGUAGGCGGAUUGAUAAGUUAGAGGUGAAAUGUCCGAGCUUAACUCGGGAACUGCCUCUAAUACUGUUGGUCUAGAGAGUAGAUGCGGUAGGCGGAAUGUAUGGUGUAGCGGUGAAAUGCUUAGAGAUCAUACAGAACACCGAUUGCGAAGGCAGCUUACCAAUCUAUAUCUGACGUUGAGGCACGAAAGCGUGGGGAGCAAACAGGAUUAGAUACCCCUGUAGUC